AUGAGAACUUGCCCUCCGGGGUAGAUCUCCCACCCUCUGUUUACAUACUUUGUUGCUUUGGCAGGCCCGUCUUCGGACCGCCGGCUUCGGCUGGCCCGUGCCUGCCAGAGGAUUCAAAACUCUUGUUUUUAGUGAUGUCUGAGUACUAUAUAAUAGUUAA
Molecule: unclassified non-coding RNA, 160 nt
Filed under: uncultured Pseudeurotiaceae
Lineage: Eukaryota; Fungi; Ascomycota; Leotiomycetes; Thelebolales; Pseudeurotiaceae
Description: sequence contains ITS1
Source: RNAcentral